GAAGGAUCAUUAUUGAAUGAACUUGGUGUGGUUGUUGCUGGCCCUCUCGGGGGCAUGUGCACACCCGCCAUCCUCAUCUCUCCACCUGUGCACCUCUUGUAGACCUGGAUAGACUUUCUGAGGCAACUCAGUCGGGAAGAUUGCUGCGCUCUGUGAGCCAGCUUUCUUUGCAUGUCCAGGCCUAUGUUUUUCAUAUACCCCUAUAGAAUGUAACAGAAUGUAUCAUUGGGCCUUGUGCCUAUAAACCUUAUACAACUUUCAGCAACGGAUCUCUUGGCUCUCGCAUCGAUGAAGAACGCAGCGAAAUGCGAUAAGUAAUGUGAAUUGCAGAAUUCAGUGAAUCAUCGAAUCUUUGAACGCACCUUGCGCUCCUUGGUAUUCCGAGGAGCAUGCCUGUUUGAGUGUCAUUAAAUUCUCAACCUUAUUAACUUUUGUUGAUAAUGGAUUGGAUGUGGGGGUUUCUUUUGCUGGCUUCUUCCCAGAUAUCAGCUCCCCUUAAA
This 500-nucleotide unclassified non-coding RNA is filed under the name uncultured fungus. RNAcentral describes it as "sequence contains ITS1, 5.8S rRNA gene, ITS2 and 28S rRNA gene". The stretch from base 254 to 407 matches the Rfam family "5.8S ribosomal RNA". Lineage: Eukaryota; Fungi. The record is from RNAcentral.